Molecule: long non-coding RNA, 247 nt
Organism: Zea mays
Lineage: Eukaryota; Viridiplantae; Streptophyta; Magnoliopsida; Poales; Poaceae
Exons: 3
Source: RefSeq, a predicted model, not a curated record
AUCACCACGCAUCUGGCAAGGCCAUCAAGGAUGUGCUUUCAGUCUUUCACCAAGGAGCUUGGCGAUGACUACCAGAAGCAAGAAAAAUGUAAGGAUGCUGAACUUAGUGCAAUAGAUCUUUUAAAGGACAUGCAUUGCAACAAAAAGAAAGGUUUUAGUGAAAAUAUUGAGAAAGCUAUUGUUGACAUGGAAGAAAUAGUGGUAGCACCAAUUUAGGAUGGAUAACAACCAAAAUAUCCUACAAAAG